CGUGCGGAGGCCUAACUGCAAGUCGUACCAACAGUACACAUAAGAGCUUGCUCUUAUGGGUGGCGAGUGGCGGACGGGUGAGGAAUACAUCGGAAUCUACUCUUUCGUGGGGGAUAACGUAGGGAAACUUACGCUAAUACCGCAUACGACCUACGGGUGAAAGCGGAGGACCUUCGGGCUUCGCGCGGUUGAAUGAGCCGAUGUCGGAUUAGCUAGUUGGCGGGGUAAAGGCCCACCAAGGCGACGAUCCGUAGCUGGUCUGAGAGGAUGAUCAGCCACACUGGAACUGAGACACGGUCCAGACUCCUACGGGAGGCAGCAGUGGGGAAUAUUGGACAAUGGGCGCAAGCCUGAUCCAGCCAUGCCGCGUGGGUGAAGAAGGCCUUCGGGUUGUAAAGCCCUUUUGUUGGGAAAGAAAAGCAGUCGGUUAAUACCCGAUUGUUCUGACGGUACCCAAAGAAUAAGCACCGGCUAACUUCGUGCCAGCAGCCGCGGUAAUACGAAGGGUGCAAGCGUUACUCGGAAUUACUGGGCGUAAAGCGUGCGUAGGUGGUGGUUUAAGUCUGUUGUGAAAGCCCUGGGCUCAACCUGGGAAUUGCAGUGGAUACUGGGUCACUAGAGUGUGGUAGAGGGUAGCGGAAUUCCCGGUGUAGCAGUGAAAUGCGUAGAGAUCGGGAGGAACAUCCGUGGCGAAGGCGGCUACCUGGACCAACACUGACACUGAGGCACGAAAGCGUGGGGAGCAAACAGGAUUAGAUACCCUGGUAGUCCACGCCCUAAACGAUGCGAACUGGAUGUUGGGUGCAAUUUGGCACGCAGUAUCGAAGCUAACGCGUUAAGUUCGCCGCCUGGGGAGUACGGUCGCAAGACUGAAACUCAAAGGAAUUGACGGGGGGCCCGCACAAGCGGUGGAGUAUGUGGUUUUAAUUUCGAUGCAACGCGAAGAACCUUACCUGGGUCUUGACAUCCACGGGAAACUUUUCCAGAGAUGGGAUUGGUUGCCCUUCGGGAACCGUGAGACAGGUGCUGCAUGGCUGUCGUCAGCUCGUGUUCGUGAGAUUGUUGGCUUUAGUUCCCGCACGAAGCGCACCAUUGGUCUUAGUUGCAGUCACGAUAAUGCUUGGCAGAAUCU
Molecule: ribosomal RNA, 1132 nt
Filed under: Xanthomonas phaseoli pv. dieffenbachiae
Lineage: Bacteria; Pseudomonadati; Pseudomonadota; Gammaproteobacteria; Lysobacterales; Lysobacteraceae
Description: bacterial SSU rRNA
Rfam family: Bacterial small subunit ribosomal RNA
Source: RNAcentral